AUGCUAACUUUGACAGGCCCAAACCGAGGGCUCGUCGUGCCACACACCAUCUUCUUCGAGAUCAACCUGAAGAUCAAUGGCGACGGAGCCACCGGCGACAGGGAUUUCAGCAAAGGUGUGAUAGAACACUACCCUGUUCCCUUGGAGAAGGGCCCCAAGGCUGAGCUGCUAUCUAGCUGGCUGAGCACCGUAGAACUGGUAGCAGCGCCCGUUCCAUAUUCCGUGGCAGCCACCGUCAAGAUCGGUAUUCUGAAUGGACCCUGCGACGCCCCUUUCAGUGGCAAGAUAACCGCCUGGACCGCCGGAGACACCGAGAGCCACAUCAUUCUAUACGAACACGAAAACAGAGCGAUGGGCGACCGUAGAUUGAUCGGAGAUGGCGGUUCGAUCGCGUUGAGCCGUAGUUUGGUGGCCGUCCAUGUCCCCAAUCCCUUGUUUGAUGAGUAUGAAGAAAUCGCACUCAGUGUUUGUUUUACAUCCGGUGAUGGUGAGGGUGAAGGAUGCUUGGUAGGAUACUGA
RNAcentral lists this ribosomal RNA (519 nucleotides) under Triticum aestivum (bread wheat). Its description in RNAcentral is "partial small subunit ribosomal RNA". Lineage: Eukaryota; Viridiplantae; Streptophyta; Magnoliopsida; Poales; Poaceae. The record is from RNAcentral.